Long non-coding RNA from Oncorhynchus tshawytscha (Chinook salmon), 617 nucleotides. RefSeq lists it as uncharacterized. The transcript has 2 exons. NCBI's taxonomy places the organism in Eukaryota, Metazoa, Chordata, Actinopteri, Salmoniformes, Salmonidae. The record is from RefSeq and is a predicted model, not a curated record.
CCCACCACUUCAGUCCACAGUCCUAUCAUAACAAGACCUCAGUACAGUUAUCCCCUAUCCAUCCCACCACUUCAGUCCACAGUCCUAUCAUAACAAGACCUCAGUACAGUUAUCCCCUAUCCAUCCCACCACUUCAGUCCACAGUCCUAUCAUAACAAGACCUCAGUACAGUUAUCCCUAUCUAUCCCACCACUUCAGUCCACAGUCCUAUCAUAACAAGAGCUCAGUACAGUUAUCCCCUAUCCAUCCCACCACUUCAGUCCACAGUCCUAUCAUAACAAGACCUCAGUACAGUUAUCCCCUAUCCAUCCCACCACUUCAGUCCACAGUCCUAUCAUAACAAGACCUCAGUACAGUUAUCCCCUAUCCAUCCCACCACUUCAGUCCACAGUCCUAUCAUAACAAGACCUCAGUACAGUUAUCCCCUAUCCAUCCCACCACUUCAGUCCACAGUCCUAUCAUAACAAGACCUCAGUACAGUUAUCCCCUAUCCAUCCCACCACUUCAGUCCUAUCAUAACAAGACCUCAGUACAGUUAUCCCCUAUCCAUCCCACCACUUCAGUCCUAUCAUAACAAGACCUCAGUACAGUUAUCCCCUAUCCAUCCCACCACUUCA